Long non-coding RNA from Triticum aestivum (bread wheat), 592 nucleotides. RefSeq lists it as uncharacterized. The record is from RefSeq and is a predicted model, not a curated record. The transcript has 2 exons. Lineage: Eukaryota; Viridiplantae; Streptophyta; Magnoliopsida; Poales; Poaceae.
AUAUAUAAGAUGUUCGCAUAGUAAGUUUUAAUGUAUGAUUGUUUUCAUAUACCCUUUUACUUUUUAAUCCAGUUCAGGUGAAAAAUAUUGUUUAGAUGAUUGUGAAAAUGCAGGCUACAUUUUUAAAUGUUCAUAAGGUUUGUGAACAUACAAUUUACUACAUGAAGGAUGUGCCUGGCUUCCAUGUUGAAGUAGUAGGACUAUUUCCACAUAUGCGAGAGAAGAACUAUGAUCGGAGGUACUAUGUAUGCUUGAUCCAAUUUAGACAUCAACAAUUAUGUAUCUAAAAGCUGGAGUGCUCCUUGAACAUUGUACUGUAUAUAUGAUUGAAAUGAGUUGCAUGUUGUCGGUGACGGCGAGUUGAACCAAUGGAAGUGGUUGUAAUGGUAAGAUAGAGAAGAUGGCCGUGGGAGAAAAAGAGGACGGCAGUAAUGGUAAAGAAGAGAAGAUCAUUGAUGUAAAAGGAGGACAUGUGUUGGACCUAGCAUGUCUAAAUACAAGCAUGUGGUCAUAAGUAUUUUCUUUUCCUUACAAACGAGAGUUGGUUAUUUGGCUUCACAACCUCCAUAUUUCAAUUUGGCAUGCAACGACA